AGUUUGAGGAAAUAAUCUCAAAUGUAUUCUGCCCAGUGAUAUUUUUUUUAAAUGGCCGCAGUACCUUGACUGUGCUAAGGUAGCAUAAUCAAUUGGCUUCUAAUUAGAGUCUAGAAUGAAAGGAAUUAUGAGGUAAUUCUGUCUUAAAAGAUUUUUUUUUAAUUUAUUUAAAUGAUGAAAAUAUCAUUUUUUAGAAAAAAGACGAGAAGACCCUUAGAGUUUAAUUUUUUAAUUUUGUUGGGGCGACAAGUAAACAUUUUUGAACUUUACUAAUUAUUUUAAUCGAUUUUAUAAUAGGAAUAAAAAAACUACCUUAGGGAUAACAGCAUUAUAUUUUUAUAUGAUUGUGACCUCGAUGUUGGACUAGGAACUUUAUGGCUAGCCGUCAAAAAAGAUUUGUUCUGUUCGAACAAUAUUAUCCUAC
This 424-nucleotide ribosomal RNA is filed under the name Biomphalaria tenagophila. RNAcentral describes it as "partial 16S ribosomal RNA". The record is from RNAcentral. Lineage: Eukaryota; Metazoa; Mollusca; Gastropoda; Planorbidae.